ACGGGGGUGGCCAGUGGAGUCUCUGGCGUCGCGGUGCGCGAGAGCUUGCGGAGCUUUUCAUUCCGGUGCCGUAGUUCGUCUCGCAAGCUUCGAGGCGCCGUUCGGGCUCGCUUGUGCCGCUCCUUUUCUUGGUCCUCCCUCCUCUCUCUCUCUCUAUCUCUCUCUCACAUACUCAUUCACUCACUCACUCACUCAUUCGCUCACUCGCUCACUCACUCGUUCACUCACUCACUCACUCACUCACUCACUCACUCACUCACUUACUCACUUACUCACUCAUUCACUCGCUCACUCACUCACUCACUCACUCACUCACUCACUCACUGACUAACUCUCUCGUUCUCACUCUCGUUGUCUUCGUCUGUCUAUUCACUCGCUGCUCGUUCAUUCAUUCCAUAUACGCUGUUGUAUAUCUCACACGUAUACGCGGAUACUCCGUUUGUUCUAUGCCUAUCUCAUAGGUAUCUUCUUUUUCCAUCUGACGUUCAUCGCGUAUUUCCGUGCGUGAUAUUCGUGCGUGCAAAGAUAUUAGUGCUCUCCUGUGUGUUCUAGCUCGUGUCGUCACGUCUCCGUCACUUUUCUAGAUCGACGAACUCUAUACCGAACUUGUCGAUUUAUGAACGAGGAUUUCUUUCGGAACAUUACGAGAAGACUUGAGAGAUGCCUGUUUUAUGGAUUUUGCAUACAAACGAGAACGGUGAACGUGUAUCAUGAUGAUUAUUAUCUCAUCGUUGGAUGUGUAAAGAUCGAUCUGUGAAUGUUCGCGAGUGUUGUUCCAAUCUCGUUCAGUGCCAUCGUCGUCUUUGUCGUUGUUGGUGGUUGUGGUACUAGUGAUACUGGUGCUUGUGAUACCGGUCAUAGUGAUGAUGCGAGUUACAGGACGAGACGCGUGAUUUUCAAAUCUCAUGAGUUUAAAAUUAAGAGGACAUCGUUAGCGGAUCUUCGUGAUUAACUAUCAGAAUCAAUUUCCGUAUAGAAAAAUAUCAUGAGAAUGGCAUUGGAAAAUCUUUCUGAACUAAAGUAUUUCGACCCGUCGACCGAGAUGUCCACGAACUGGAAAAUCAUCGAUUCCUUUCAAUGUGGCUCAAUGUGGUUCGAUCGAAGGGGCGGCCUCCGAGCGAUGCAUUAUGGUAAGAGAAAAGUUUAAAUAUAAGUUAAUGACCAACGCAUCAUCUCUUUCCUUGCGGUUAUGCAAGACAUCGCAUACGGAAUAUUAUUGGAAUACGUGGGAGAUUCUUUUGUCAAAAAAUAAUGGAAAAAGGAAAAAUGUAGUUCACCGAUUCUAUCGGAUAAAAGAAUUUAUUUAUAUACUAUGUUUCGUAAAAGGAAGUUGCAUUCAAACGAAAAUGAUUUUGUGAAUUUCAUUAUUGAUCUUAUUAAUCUCUUGCAUCGAUUGUCAUCUUUAUAAUCAUAAAAAUAUCAAGAAUAACGCGUUAAAAGCUUGAUGUUUCUCAGAUAUUAUAAUUAAAACUGACUUUAAACGAACGUACUAAUCUAAAUGGUGAAGUUGCAAGAAUCGUCAGUUUGUGCUAUGCCAAACUAACAAGUAUAUCUUGAUCUAACACCGUAUAAUACCUAGUUAAGAGAUAAUUGCAGUUUACAGACAA
Long non-coding RNA from Vespula pensylvanica (western yellowjacket), 1607 nucleotides. RefSeq lists it as uncharacterized. Lineage: Eukaryota; Metazoa; Arthropoda; Insecta; Hymenoptera; Vespidae. The transcript has 3 exons. The record is from RefSeq and is a predicted model, not a curated record.